Molecule: ribosomal RNA, 809 nt
Filed under: uncultured bacterium
Lineage: Bacteria
Description: bacterial SSU rRNA
Rfam family: Bacterial small subunit ribosomal RNA
Source: RNAcentral
AGAGUUUGAUCCUGGCUCAGAACGAACGCUGGCGGCGUGGAUAAGACAUGCAAGUCGGACGAGAUUUCGUCCUGUAGCAAUAUGGGAUGAAGUCUAGUGGCGAACGGGUGCUUAACACGUGGGCAACCUGCCGAGAAGUGGGGGAUAGCUCGCCGAAAGGCGAAUUAAUACCGCAUGUGAUCAGAGAGGACAUCCUUUCGAAAUUAAAGCUGGGGCAACCUAGCGCUUCUUGUGGGGCCCGCGGCCUAUCAGCUAGUUGGUGAGGUAACGGCUCACCAAGGCUUUGACGGGUAGCUGGUCUGAGAGGACGACCAGCCACACUGGGACUGAGACACGGCCCAGACACCUACGGGUGGCAGCAGUCGAGAAUUUUUCUCAAUGGGGGAAACCCUGAAGGAGCGACGCCGCGUGGAGGAUGAAGGUCUUCGGAUUGUAAACUCCUGUCAUUGGGGAACAAGGUGCAUACGUUAACUGCGUGUGCAUUGAUAGUACCCGAAGAGGAAGAGACGGCUAACUCUGUGCCAGCAGCCGCGGUAAUACAGAGGUCUCAAGCGUUGUUCGGAUUCAUUGGGCGUAAAGGGUGCGUAGGCGGCGCGGUAAGUCGGGUGUGAAAUCUUGGAGCUUAACUCCGAAACUGCAUUCGAUACUGCCGUGCUUGAGGACUGGAGAGGAGACUGGAAUUUACGGUGUAGCGGUGAAAUGCGUAGAUAUCGUAAGGAAGACCAGUGGCGAAGGCGGGUCUCUGGACAGUUCCUGACGCUGAGGCACGAAGGCCAGGGGAGCAAACGGAUUAGAUACCCUAGUAGUCC